This 423-nucleotide ribosomal RNA is filed under the name uncultured bacterium. RNAcentral describes it as "bacterial SSU rRNA". It matches the Rfam family "Bacterial small subunit ribosomal RNA", at positions 355 to 793 of the family's 1533-position model. The record is from RNAcentral.
UAGGGAAUAUUGCACAAUGGGCGAAAGCCUGAUGCAGCAACGCCGCGUGCGCGAAGAAGGUCUUCGGAUCGUAAAGCGCUUUUCUGGGAGAUGAGAAAGGACAGUAUCCCAGGAAUAAGUCUCGGCUAACUACGUGCCAGCAGCCGCGGUAACACGUAGGAGGCGAGCGUUAUCCGGAUUCACUGGGCGUAAAGCGCGUGCAGGCGGUUCGGUAAGUUGGGCGUGAAAUCUCCCGGCUCAACUGGGAGAGGUCGUUCAAUACUACCGGACUUGAGAGCGAUAGAGGAAAAUGGAAUUCCCGGUGUAGUGGUGAAAUGCGUAGAUAUCGGGAGGAACACCAGUGGCGAAAGCGAUUUUCUGGAUCGUUUCUGACGCUCAGACGCGAAAGCUAGGGUAGCAAACGGGAUUAGAGACCCCGUGUAG